This 107-nucleotide small nuclear RNA is filed under the name Carlito syrichta (Philippine tarsier). Lineage: Eukaryota; Metazoa; Chordata; Mammalia; Primates; Tarsiidae. The record is from RNAcentral.
GUGCUCACUUCAGUAGCACAUAUACUAACAUUGGAACGAUACAGAAAAGAUUAGCAUGGCCCUUACACAAGGAUGACACGCAAAUUCGCAAAGCGUUACAUAUUUUA